This 17-nucleotide microRNA is filed under the name Corchorus capsularis. Its description in RNAcentral is "sRNA CCACVL1_30158". Lineage: Eukaryota; Viridiplantae; Streptophyta; Magnoliopsida; Malvales; Malvaceae. The record is from RNAcentral.
GGGAUAUGAAGAAAUUU